ACAUGCUUACAGCAUAGCGUUACUACACCGUAUCCUAUUAGAACUCUGCAUUUAAGCGUGCUUGGGUUAGAGUAUUACUAGGAUGGGUGAACACCUAGGAAUUCCUAGUUUUUUACAUGCC
Picea glauca (white spruce) is the source of this 121-nucleotide non-coding RNA. The record is from Rfam. NCBI's taxonomy places the organism in Eukaryota, Viridiplantae, Streptophyta, Pinopsida, Pinales, Pinaceae.